RNAcentral lists this ribosomal RNA (453 nucleotides) under uncultured bacterium. Its description in RNAcentral is "bacterial SSU rRNA". It matches the Rfam family "Bacterial small subunit ribosomal RNA", at positions 340 to 786 of the family's 1533-position model. The record is from RNAcentral.
UACGGGAGGCAGCAGUGGGGAAUAUUGCACAAUGGGCGCAAGCCUGAUGCAGCCAUGCCGCGUGUAUGAAGAAGGCCUUCGGGUUGUAAAGUACUUUCAGUCGUGAGGAAGGUGUUAAGGUUAAUAACCUUAGCAAUUGACGUUAGCGACAGAAGAAGCACCGGCUAACUCCGUGCCAGCAGCCGCGGUAAUACGGAGGGUGCGAGCGUUAAUCGGAAUUACUGGGCGUAAAGGGCACGCAGGCGGUUAAUUAAGUUGGAUGUGAAAUCCCCGGGCUUAACCUGGGAAUGGCAUUCAAGACUGGUUAGCUAGAGUCUUGUAGAGGGGGUAGAAUUCCAUGUGUAGCGGUGAAAUGCGUAGAGAUGUGGAGGAAUCCGGUGGCGAAGGCGGCCCCUGGGACAAAGACUGACGCUCAUGUGCGAAAGCGUGGGGAGCAAACAGGGAUUAGAUACC